RNAcentral lists this ribosomal RNA (254 nucleotides) under uncultured prokaryote. Its description in RNAcentral is "partial 16S ribosomal RNA". It matches the Rfam family "Bacterial small subunit ribosomal RNA", at positions 524 to 776 of the family's 1533-position model. The record is from RNAcentral.
UACGGGGGGAGCAAGCGUUGUUCGGAUUUACUGGGCGUAAAGGGCGCGUAGGCGGUCAGCACAAGUCAGUUGUGAAAUCUCCGGGCUUAACUCGGAAAGGUCAACUGAUACUGUGCGACUAGAGUGCAGAAGGGGCAACUGGAAUUCUCGGUGUAGCGGUGAAAUGCGUAGAUAUCAGGAGGAACACCUGUGGCGAAGGCGUCCAUCUGGCCCGUUACUGACGCUGAUGCGCGAAAGCUAGGGGAGCAAACGGG